AUUGAACGCUGGCGGCAUGCUUUACACAUGCAAGUCGAACGGUAACAGGCCGCCAGGUGCUGACGAGUGGCGAACGGGUGAGUAAUGCAUCGGAACGUGCCCAGUCGUGGGGGGUAACUACUCGAAAGAGUAGCUAAUACCGCAUACGAUCUAUGGAUGAAAGCGGGGGACCGUAAGGCCUCGCGCGAUUGGAGCGGCCGAUGUCAGAUUAGGUAGUUGGUGGGGUAAAGGCUCACCAAGCCAACGAUCUGUAGCUGGUCUGAGAGGACAACCAGCCACACUGGGACUGAGACACGGCCCAGACUCCUACGGGAGGCAGCAGUGGGGAAUUUUGGACAAUGGGCGCAAGCCUGAUCCAGCAAUGCCGCGUGCAGGAAGAAGGCCUUCGGGUUGUAAACUGCUUUUGUACGGAGCGAAACGGCUCUGGUUAAUACCCGGGGCUAAUGACGGUACCGUAAGAAUAAGCACCGGCUAACUACGUG
Molecule: ribosomal RNA, 482 nt
Filed under: uncultured bacterium
Lineage: Bacteria
Description: partial 16S ribosomal RNA
Rfam family: Bacterial small subunit ribosomal RNA
Source: RNAcentral